RNAcentral lists this long non-coding RNA (255 nucleotides) under Ananas comosus (pineapple). RNAcentral describes it as "long non-coding RNA (ACOM_LNC013648)". The record is from RNAcentral. Lineage: Eukaryota; Viridiplantae; Streptophyta; Magnoliopsida; Poales; Bromeliaceae.
UUUGAGAAUAUUUUUGCAGGAACUUUCAAAACUUCAUGACUCCAUGUCUAAGUUAUAGAGUUUGUAUUAGGAUUGUGAGAAAAAUGUAAUUUUUUCUUUUAUUGGAUCGAUCAUGCAGGAGAUUGUCGUUUGGUGAUUGCGCCAAUCUUCUUUUUAUUGUUUCUGAGUUGUGCACGAGCGUUGUAAUAUAUUUUGUCACGAAAUCGCCAAAGGGGGAGAUUGUUAAGGAUUUUUUAGGUUGACGGAUUUCGUAAA